This 222-nucleotide ribosomal RNA is filed under the name Campeiostachys nutans. Its description in RNAcentral is "Elymus nutans partial small subunit ribosomal RNA". It matches the Rfam family "Eukaryotic small subunit ribosomal RNA", at positions 665 to 864 of the family's 1831-position model. Lineage: Eukaryota; Viridiplantae; Streptophyta; Magnoliopsida; Poales; Poaceae. The record is from RNAcentral.
GGAUUGACACAUCGGUCGUGCCUUAAGGGGUAUGAACUGGUGUAGUUAAUUUCUCACCUUCUGGAGAACCGCGACGCCCUUAAUUGGGUGUCACGGGGAACCAGGACCCUUACUUUGAAAAAAUUAGAGUGUUUAAAGCAGGCAUUUUGCUUGAAUACAUUAGCAUGGAAUAAUAAAAUAGGUCGGCAUGAUUCUAUUUUGUUGGCUUCUAGGAUCACCGUA